RNAcentral lists this ribosomal RNA (325 nucleotides) under uncultured eukaryote. RNAcentral describes it as "partial 18S ribosomal RNA". It matches the Rfam family "Eukaryotic small subunit ribosomal RNA", at positions 1470 to 1796 of the family's 1831-position model. The record is from RNAcentral.
CCCUUAGAUGUCCUGGGCUGCACGCGCGCUACACUGAUGCAUUCAACGAGUAUUUCCUUGGCCGAGAGGCCUGGGCAAUCUUUUAAACCUGCAUCGUGAUAGGGAUAGAUUAUUGCAAUUAUUAAUCUUGAACGAGGAAUUCCUAGUAAACGCAAAUCAUCAAUUUGCAUUGAUUACGUCCCUGCCCUUUGUACACACCGCCCGUCGCACCUACCGAUUGAAUGGUCCGGUGAAAUCUCGGGAUUGUGGCCAGUUCACUUUAUUGGGAGUUGGCUGCGAGAACUUGCUUAAACCUUAUCAUUUAGAGGAAGGUGAAGUCGUAACA